Molecule: ribosomal RNA, 447 nt
Filed under: uncultured bacterium
Lineage: Bacteria
Description: bacterial SSU rRNA
Rfam family: Bacterial small subunit ribosomal RNA
Source: RNAcentral
UCGGGAAUUUUGGGCAAUGGGGGAAACCCUGACCCAGCAACGCCGCGUGAAGGAUGAAGUAUUUCGGUAUGUAAACUUCGAAAGAAUAGGAAGAAUAAAUGACGGUACUAUUUAUAAGGUCCGGCUAACUACGUGCCAGCAGCCGCGGUAAUACGUAGGGACCAAGCGUUGUUCGGAUUUACUGGGCGUAAAGGGCGCGUAGGCGGCAUGACAAGUCACUUGUGAAAUCUCUGGGCUUAACCCAGAACGGCCAAGUGAUACUGUCGCGCUAGAGUGCAGAAGGGGCAAUCGGAAUUCUUGGUGUAGCGGUGAAAUGCGUAGAUAUCAAGAGGAACACCUGAGGUGAAGACGGGUUGCUGGGCUGACACUGACGCUGAGGCACGAAAGCGUGGGUAGCAAACAGGAUUAGAUACCCCCGUAGUCCCUGAGCGGGCUGGCAAGGCGCAU